This 406-nucleotide ribosomal RNA is filed under the name uncultured bacterium. Its description in RNAcentral is "partial 16S ribosomal RNA". It matches the Rfam family "Bacterial small subunit ribosomal RNA", at positions 30 to 526 of the family's 1533-position model. The record is from RNAcentral.
AUUGAACGCUGGCGGCAGGCCUAACACAUGCAAGUCGAACGAGUGGCGGACGGGUGAGUAAUGUCUGGGAAACUGCCUGAUGGAGGGGGAUAACUACUGGAAACGGUAGCUAAUACCGCAUACCAUAAGAUGAGCCCAGAUGGGAGUAGCUAGUUGGUGGGGUAACGGCGCACCAAGGCGACGAUCCCUAGCUGGUCUGAGAGGAUGACCAGCGACACUGGAACUGAGGCACGGUCCGUACUCCUACGUGAGGCAGCAGUGGGGAAUAUUGCACAAUGGGCGCAAGCCUGAUGCAGCCAUGCCGCGUGUAUGAAGAAGGCCUUCGGGUUGUAGAGUACUUUCAGCGGGGAGGCGUUACCCGCAGAAGAAGCACCGGCUAACUCCGUGCCAGCAGCCGCGGUAAUUC